Molecule: small nuclear RNA, 173 nt
Filed under: Corchorus olitorius
Lineage: Eukaryota; Viridiplantae; Streptophyta; Magnoliopsida; Malvales; Malvaceae
Description: U2 spliceosomal RNA
Rfam family: U2 spliceosomal RNA
About the family: U2 is a small nuclear RNA (snRNA) component of the spliceosome (involved in pre-mRNA splicing). Complementary binding between U2 snRNA (in an area lying towards the 5' end but 3' to hairpin I) and the branchpoint sequence (BPS) of the intron results the bulging out of an unpaired adenosine, on the BPS, which initiates a nucleophilic attack at the intronic 5' splice site, thus starting the first of two transesterification reactions that mediate splicing.
Source: Rfam by way of RNAcentral
AUAUCUUUUUCGGCCUUUUGAUUAAGAUCAAGUGUAAUAUCUGUUCUUAUCAGUUUAAUAUUUGAUAACGGAAACUUGUAGGUUCCCGAUGGGUUAGUCUAUAGGUCUACCUAUAUGUUUGCCUUUCUGUGUUGUCCUUGCUUCGCACUCCCGCAAAGACUUAGACACGUGUA